GUAGUGGGGAGGUCAGUCUUGAUACAACUUUCUAGCUGAACAGAUCGUACUUUUUAAAGUUCCUCCGAUUUUUAAGCGUAGCCAAUAUUAAAUAAAAAAUCAAUUAUGUGUUCUAUGCUAAAAGUAAGUGAUAAUAUUAAACUAAAAAUCUUGAGAACGUGGACAGUAGCAAUAUGUUAAAUUUUUAAAAAAUGCAACGUUUCGUUUUUAUUUCUAACUUCUUCAGGCAUAUUUUGAGGAUGUUAACCUAUGUUAAAAUAUGCCUGAAAAAGUUGGAAACAAAGUGAAUAAAACGUUGCAUUUUUCAAAAAUUUAACAUCUUAUUGCUAUUUUCCACGUUCCCAAAAUUUGUUGUUUAAUAUUUCGUAAAACAUGGAUGAGAAUCUACAAAUGGGGUCGCCAGUCUUCUUUCGGCUUUCGACUUGACCAGAUCGUAUAGAAAUAACGUUGAUGUGGGCGUUGACAAGUGUUUUUUGGAUCAAAAAAAUUAUUUUGAAGCAAAAUACAAUAUUUUUAACAUUACACAUUUUUAAUAAUCAGCUGAAGCAAUGUUAAAAACCGCUUUUGAACUGGAUAAAAAAUAACGGAGAACCCAAUUUUGUGUGAAACUAAUUUUUCAAUUCAAGGAUCAAAAUUAUUGGCUAACAAACCAGAUUAAUGUCUAUUAAUUAUUGUUAUUACUCUUCAUAACUCAUGAGUAUUAUACCUUUGAAUUCCCUGAAGUCGAAGUCAUCACCGGAAAACAACUUCGUGGGCAUGAUUUGAUAAAUUUAUCUUGUUAAUAAAACAAUCUGCUGAUUUAACUAAACAAAUAUAAGUCAAUAAAAAAACAACAACGUAAAACAAAGUUAACGACGUUUCAAUGAAUUGGUCUGAUCGUUGUCAGCUCGUUAGUGCCCGUCCUCUGAAAGCUCGUUAACUUUCCAUUAAUCUUCAAUUUAUGGAGUAAAAUAGCUUAUCGGCUCGCAGCAAUUGCAAUCAAUGGUUCUGCGGUCUCGGCCGACCAGACUAGUGUCUCUAUCAAAUUAUUGGCUGUCUGCUAAUUUACCUACCAAGAAAAUUUAUUUGAAAAUGUUUAAAGCUCAAGAACGUGGAGAAGGAAAAGGCGUGAAAAGCCAGAAAUGAAAUAAAAAAUAAAGUAAAGAGUAGGGAGCCCAAAGGUGUUGCGCGUGCUCGAGACAGAGUCGAGAGGAUGCAGACAGACGAUGAUUAUCCCUGCAAAACUUGCCGGGGUCGCAUAUGCACGAAAUAAAUUUUUCUUCUUCGAAAUUUUUCUUUAAGGAAGUUCGAGCGUAACUAAUGAGUCAAAAUAAUGUUAAAA
This is a long non-coding RNA of Cotesia glomerata, 1321 nucleotides long. RefSeq lists it as uncharacterized. Lineage: Eukaryota; Metazoa; Arthropoda; Insecta; Hymenoptera; Braconidae. The transcript is spliced from 5 exons. The record is from RefSeq and is a predicted model, not a curated record.